GCGGGGUUAGAGCAGUUUGGUAGCUCGCAAGGCUCAUAACCUUGAGGUCACGGGUUCAAAUCCUGUCUCCGCA
RNAcentral lists this transfer RNA (73 nucleotides) under Nicotiana attenuata. It matches the Rfam family "tRNA". Rfam says of the family: Transfer RNA (tRNA) molecules are approximately 80 nucleotides in length. Their secondary structure includes four short double-helical elements and three loops (D, anti-codon, and T loops). Lineage: Eukaryota; Viridiplantae; Streptophyta; Magnoliopsida; Solanales; Solanaceae. The record is from Rfam by way of RNAcentral.